This 575-nucleotide small RNA is filed under the name Pongo abelii (Sumatran orangutan). Its description in RNAcentral is "retained intron". Lineage: Eukaryota; Metazoa; Chordata; Mammalia; Primates; Hominidae. The record is from RNAcentral.
GGGAUUUCACAAUGCCUUUUAGCACUGGCUCAUUCCCCAAGGCCCCUCAUUAUCCCAAUGGUGUCCAGACCUCUGCUCCGUUCUGGAGGGCUAGGCUAUGGCAGAAAUGGGAGAAGUCAGACAGAAAACCAGUCCUGGGCCACUGAGGAGUAAAACAGGUCUGGGAAUGAGGCCCAGAGGCAGGUGGGAGGCCCCCAGCUGGAAAUGCCUGCCUUCUCCACUCCCAGCGUGGGCCAGAGGCAGCUCGUGUGCCUGGCCCGAGCCCUGCUCCGCAAGAGCCGCAUCCUGGUUUUAGACGAGGCCACAGCUGCCAUCGACCUGGAGACUGACAACCUCAUCCAGGCUACCAUCCGCACCCAGUUUGAUACCUGCACUGUCUUGACCAUCGCACACCGGCUUAACACUAUCAUGGACUACAGCAGGGUCCUGGUCCUGGACAAAGGAGUAGUAGCUGAAUUUGAUUCUCCAGCCAACCUCAUUGCAGCUAGAGGCAUCUUCUACGGGAUGGCCAGAGAUGCUGGACUUGCCUAAAAUAUAUUCCUGAGAUUUCCUCCUGGCCUUUCCUGGUUUUCAUC